RNAcentral lists this ribosomal RNA (495 nucleotides) under uncultured bacterium. Its description in RNAcentral is "partial 16S ribosomal RNA". It matches the Rfam family "Bacterial small subunit ribosomal RNA", at positions 28 to 507 of the family's 1533-position model. The record is from RNAcentral.
GACGAACGCUGGCGGCGUGCCUAAUACAUGCAAGUAGAACGCUGAAGGAGGAGCUUGCUCUUCUGGAUGAGUUGCGAACGGGUGAGUAACGCGUAGGUAACCUGCCUGGUAGCGGGGGAUAACUAUUGGAAACGAUAGCUAAUACCGCAUAACAGUAGAUGUUGCAUGACAUUUACUUAAAAGGUGCAAUUGCAUCACUACCAGAUGGACCUGCGUUGUAUUAGCUAGUUGGUGGGGUAACGGCUCACCAAGGCGACGAUACAUAGCCGACCUGAGAGGGUGAUCGGCCACACUGGGACUGAGACACGGCCCAGACUCCUACGGGAGGCAGCAGUAGGGAAUCUUCGGCAAUGGACGGAAGGCUGACCGAGCAACGCCGCGUGAGUGAAGAAGGGUGUCGGAUCGUAAAGCUCUGUUGUAAGAGAAGAACGAGUGUGAGAGUGGAAAGUUCACACUGUGACGGUAUCUGACCAGAAAGGGACGGCUAACUACGUG